AACGCAUAUUGCGCUCUUUGGUAUUCCGAAGAGCAUGCUUGUUUGAGUAUCAGUAAACACCUCAAAAGCUUUCUUCUUUUUGAAGAGAGUUUUUGGACUUGAGCGAACCCAACGCCUGAUCUCGUCUUUUAUUAGAUGGGUGAGGUGGCGGGUUGCUUGAAAUGCAGGUGCAGCUGGACUUUUCUUCUGAGCUAAAAGCAUAUCUAUUUAGUCCCGUCAAACGGAUUAUUACUUUUGCUGCAGCUAACAUAAAGGAAGAUUAGACCGAUUUAGCUGACUGAAGCAGGAUUUCACAAAGCCGGAAACGGUUUUGUAAAACUCGAUCUCAAAUCAAGUAAGACUACCCGCUGAACUUAA
RNAcentral lists this unclassified non-coding RNA (357 nucleotides) under uncultured fungus. Its description in RNAcentral is "sequence contains ITS2". Lineage: Eukaryota; Fungi. The record is from RNAcentral.